GAUCCUGGCUCAGGACGAACGCUGGCGGCGUGCCUAAUACAUGCAAGUAUAACGCUGAAGGAGGAGCUUGCUUCUCUGGAUGAGUUGCGAACGGGUGAGUAACGCGUAGGUAACCUGCCUGGUANCGGGGGAUAACUAUUGGAAACGAUAGCUAAUACCGCAUAAGAGUAGAUGUUGCAUGACAUUUGCUUAAAAGGUGCAAUUGCAUCACUACCAGAUGG
RNAcentral lists this ribosomal RNA (221 nucleotides) under uncultured bacterium. RNAcentral describes it as "partial 16S ribosomal RNA". It matches the Rfam family "Bacterial small subunit ribosomal RNA", at positions 15 to 228 of the family's 1533-position model. The record is from RNAcentral.